AGAGUUUGAUCCUGGCUCAGGAUGAACGCUAGCGGGAGGCCUAACACAUGCAAGUCGAACGGGAUUGAGAGCUUGCUCUCAUGAGAGUGGCGCACGGGUGAGUAACGCGUGGAUAAUCUACCUUGGAAUCUGGGAUAACAUUUCGAAAGGGGUGCUAAUACCGGAUAAGACCACGAGCUCUUUGGAGUUUGCGGUAAAAGGGGGCCUCUGUAUAUGCUUCUGUUUCAAGAUGAGUCCGCGUACCAUUAGCUAGUUGGCAGGGUAAUGGCCUACCAAGGCGACGAUGGUUAGCUGGUCUGAGAGGAUGAUCAGCCACACUGGAACUGAGACACGGUCCAGACUCCUACGGGAGGCAGCAGUGGGGAAUUUUGCGCAAUGGGGGAAACCCUGACGCAGCAACGCCGCGUGAGUGAUGAAGGCCUUCGGGUCGUAAAGC
This 436-nucleotide ribosomal RNA is filed under the name uncultured bacterium. RNAcentral's name for it is "bacterial SSU rRNA". It matches the Rfam family "Bacterial small subunit ribosomal RNA", at positions 8 to 431 of the family's 1533-position model. The record is from RNAcentral.